Dermochelys coriacea (leatherback sea turtle) is the source of this 1221-nucleotide long non-coding RNA. RefSeq lists it as uncharacterized. NCBI's taxonomy places the organism in Eukaryota, Metazoa, Chordata, Testudines, Dermochelyidae. The record is from RefSeq and is a predicted model, not a curated record. The transcript has 3 exons.
CUGGAUAGGAGGGUCCCGCGGGCCGGAUGUGGCCUGCGGGCCAUAGUUUGCCCACCUCUGUUCUAAGCUGUAAAACCAGAGUGCCCAAGCUGGAACUAACAAGCAGUCACCUUCCCUGUGUCUGCUUUAGGUAGCAUACUCCUGCCCCAAUUGAAGGCAAUAGGAGCUUUGCUAAGGACUUCCAUAAGAGCAGGAUUGCACCUCAAAGGAGUCCCUGUACAAGAAGGGCCCCAUGUGCUAGUGCUUUUUGUUAGCUAACAUUGUCCCUCUUUAAAAAAAAAAAAUCGAGGGUCAUUUCCUGUGGAAAAAAUUCAAUCGUUGGAAAUUACUGCUCACUUCUACAAAUGGGAUUCUUUUCACAAAAUUGCCCUUCUCUUGAUUAAAUCAAAAGCUUUUGGAGCACCAGAUCUAUCUUCAGUGUUUACUAUUUUAUACUCUAAUAAAGAUUUAAUGUUGCAGGUGACACUCUGGUGAGGAGAGAAGAAAUUCUUUCCCGCAUACAGUGAGUGCUGAAUAGCUCAAUGAUUCUCAAAAAUUGUCCCUGUGGAACAUAAAUGGAUGAAACCAAUACUCCAGGAUUAGAAAUGACAUGCAUUUCCAUGGAAAUUACUCUAAAACCUUAUUGCAGAAAAUAGAGAUUGAAAUCCUUUUGUAAAAUUUUAAACCGAUGGAAUUUAACAGAGACAUAUACACCUGCCACAGAAUUCCACAUGUUGUAUUGACGUUCUAUAGUAUGAAUGUAAUUGCCUAUUAGAUUCCAUAAGAUUCUUCUCAUAAAGUUUCCUCAGGUGCUAGUGGGACUGGAAAGUACUUCACCAUCUUCCUGUGAAAAGAGUACAGCAUCCUGAUUCUUUCCAAAUACAAAAUGUCAUUUCUAAUCCUGUGAACCAUCAACCAGCCAUGCUUUGAUGGGAAGAACUUUGAGAUUUGGGUGAAGGAUCUUCCCACCUUCCAAAGAGAGAUGAGGAGCAGUCUGAAGAGUGACUGGUGAGUAAAUGGCCAGCUGUAUCAGGUAAGGAAACCAUGUUUGUCCGGGCCAGGUGAGAACUAUUAGAAGAACUCUGGCUUUGUCCCUUUAUAUUUUGAGUAGAACUUUGGAUAUAUUAGAGAAGUCUGGGGGAAAGCGCACAGUAUAUCUGACAACCACUGAAAGUGAAAGGCAUCUUCCACAGAUCAGUGAGACCCUGACCACCUCUGGAGCAGAACUGGGUGCAUUUCUUU